RNAcentral lists this ribosomal RNA (433 nucleotides) under uncultured bacterium. Its description in RNAcentral is "partial 16S ribosomal RNA". It matches the Rfam family "Bacterial small subunit ribosomal RNA", at positions 39 to 507 of the family's 1533-position model. The record is from RNAcentral.
GGGGGGGGGGGGGGGGGGGGGGGGGGGGGGGGAGGCGGGGGGGGCCGGGGGGGGGAGGGGGGGGCGGGUGGGUGACGCGUGGGAACGUACCCUUUGCUACGGAAUGACUCAGGGGAACUUGAGCUAAUACCGUAUGUGCCCUACGGGGGAAAGAUUUAUCGGCAAAGGAUCGGCCCGCGUUGGAUUAGCUAGUUGGUGGGGUAAUGGCCUACCAAGGCGACGAUCCAUAGCUGGUCUGAGAGGAUGAUCAGCCACACUGGGACUGAGACACGGCCCAGACUCCUACGGGAGGCAGCAGUGGGGAAUAUUGGACAAUGGGCGCAAGCCUGAUCCAGCCAUGCCGCGUGAGUGAUGAAGGUCUUAGGAUUGUAAAGCUCUUUCACCGGUGAAGAUAAUGACGGUAGCCGGAGAAGAAGCCCCGGCUAACUUCGUG